This 397-nucleotide ribosomal RNA is filed under the name uncultured bacterium. Its description in RNAcentral is "bacterial SSU rRNA". It matches the Rfam family "Bacterial small subunit ribosomal RNA", at positions 30 to 426 of the family's 1533-position model. The record is from RNAcentral.
AUUGAACGCUGGCGGCAUGCCUUACACAUGCAAGUCGAACGGCAGCACGGGAGCUUGCUCCUGGUGGCGAGUGGCGAACGGGUGAGUAAUACAUCGGAACGUACCCUGAAGUGGGGGAUAACGUAGCGAAAGUUACGCUAAUACCGCAUAUUCUGUGAGCAGGAAAGAGGGGGAUCGCAAGACCUCUUGCUUUAGGAGCGGCCGAUGUCGGAUUAGCUAGUUGGUGAGGUAAAGGCUCACCAAGGCGACGAUCCGUAGCGGGUCUGAGAGGAUGAUCCGCCACACUGGGACUGAGACACGGCCCAGACUCCUACGGGAGGCAGCAGUGGGGAAUUUUGGACAAUGGGCGCAAGCCUGAUCCAGCCAUGCCGCGUGAGUGAAGAAGGCCUUCGGUUGU